UAGGAGUUGGAGGUAGCGAAGUGCGGGCUCGAGUAGGCAUGUUCCUGAUUGAUGUGUGUUCCGUACUUGACCUUGGCGCAACUUCGCCCUCUAGUCGGUGCUUGCCGCGCAAGGCACCGGCCGGGUUUGAUAGAAUCAAGCCUGGGAUGUCCCGAUACCUUUUUUUAAAAAUGCUUUUCAAACGAACCGUUUCAAAAAUAGCUUUCCAAAAAAGAAACUUUUCAGAAAAAAAACUACGAUAGGUAUCGAGUCAUCCAAUUGCGUGGGUGGUAGGUUUCGUUGCUUGUUGAUCUUGCUUAUGUGUUUUGCUAGAAGGGAUUUGUUUCUCAUGUUGCUUGAGUUUUUGCUCGUGAUGAUGAUGUUUCCGUGUCUACGAUUCGUGGCUUAACGAUGAUGUUUCUGUGUCUAAGAUUUGUUGCUGGAGUCUUUUUGCUCGUGACUCCUCGUACGUCAUGGUUACUGAGUUGUUUGGUCUUCGUUCUCGGGGCAUGGGUAGUGACUUUUCCCUCUAUGUGGAUACAUCGGCAAGUGAUGCAUUCUUAUGUUGGUUUUGUUUCUUGAUUUUCGCAUCGUUCGGUGCAUUCUGGGGCUGUUUUGGCUUUUGGUUGCUUGCUUGGCUUUUGAGCCGAACGGGUGGCUUUAAGUUGGCAUGGCUUCGGGGAUGAAGUCCGUAAAGGUGCAUGAGUGGUGUUUGGUUUGUUACGUGUGGUUGGCUGCGGCGCUUGCAACAACUUCCAUGCUUUCAUACCUUUUCAGUUAUUCGACAAGGCUUGUAUCGCCUUGAGCGAGUUGCGGGUUUACUGUAUUGAAUACCUGAUCAACGGUAUCGGUUGUACAGAUCAAAGUUGCAUUUCGUCUUGCGUUGCAUUUGCGACGUGAGGUGAACCAUGAUGCGGUCUCUUUGUUCCACCUUGUUGAAGGAAUGUUUCAACAUUGUGGCACAUUGAGCAUUGCUUGGCGUCUUGUAUACGGAACAUAUAGUGGGCAUGGAUCUAACGAUUCUUGAUUGCCCUCUUAUUAGCGUUCUCGCUUCUCUAAAACGGCUUGUGCUGCGUGUUGGCUUGUCCCAUUCGUGGUGCUAGUCGA
RNAcentral lists this unclassified non-coding RNA (1086 nucleotides) under Tanacetum cinerariifolium. RNAcentral's name for it is "partial miscellaneous RNA". The record is from RNAcentral. Lineage: Eukaryota; Viridiplantae; Streptophyta; Magnoliopsida; Asterales; Asteraceae.